CAGAGCUAUGCCCGCAUAAAGGGCACGGCCGCGGCCGCAGAGGAAGCAGCUGGAUGCGCAGGGCCGGGAGCGUUAAGCGGGGCACGCGGAAAGCGAAACUAGGCUGGAAUAAGACUUUACCCCCUGCCUGGCUGGAUUCCUCCCCUGAGGGAAUCCUGCCCCUCUCCUCUAACCAGGGUACCGGCUUCGGCCUCGAUUCCCGGAUCGGGGCCCGGCCCCCGCGAGGGAAACCACCGACCAGAUUACUCGCGCCUCCCGCUCAACCCGCGGCCCGGGCGCCGCUCCGUGACGUCCGCUGUGCUCCGGGCAUUUCUCUCUUUUUAGGGCGCGGGAAAAGGGCGGGUAGGUGUUGCUGGUGAGAGCCAGGUGAAGCUCACAGCUGGGGGCUAUGGAUAGCGACAUCUGCCGAGAGCUCUGGAGUCACCAUCCUCAGAACCUCAGCUGCCCAACCGAAAGCGAAUCCGCCGGCUCCGGGGCGGGGACAGGGGAGAUCGGGCGCGCACCGGGGACGUCCCCACCCCCAGCCCACCCGGAUCCUAAAUGCAGCCUGUCUUUACCUCCCAGGAAGAUAAGUCCUCCUGGCUCAUGCAUCGUAACAAUAGCUGACAUUUAUAGAGGUCCAACCUGGUGCCAGGUACUGAGCUAAGUGUGUCCGUGGAUUGGUCCAUUAAAUGCUCAAAACAAUCUCACGCGAUGUUUACUACGAUUGUCCUCGUUUUACAGAUGAGCCAAACGAGGCGCGGGAGUUACCCAGCUAAGUGGGGGAGGGGCGGGCGGAAUUGUCUUCUGCCACUACUCUUGUUUUGUUUGGUUUGGUUUGGUUUGGUUUUUGUUUUGUUUUGAUUUGAUUGAGUUAUAGUCAGUUUGCAAUGUGUCAAUUUCUGGUGUACAGCACAAUUUUUCAGCCACUGCCACUACUCUUUAUAGCUCGGAAGUCCCCUAGAAGCAUGGACUCUGGAAGGUCUGGGAGGACCCUGGGAAAUAACAAUAUUAAUAUUAAAAUAAUUACUAACAUGGGUUGAGCACUUACUAUGUUUCAAGCACUGAUUUCUUUCAUUCUGUCAUUAAGCCUAGGAGCUAAGCCCCCAUUUUACAGUUGCAAUUUAAUAGAUGGUAAAACAGGCUCAGAGAUGGUCCCUAAAUUGCCAAAAUCACACAGUUGAAAUACAAGCCCACUUCUAUUGUGACCCCAGGGCUUCAGCUUAUUCUCAGCCCCCUUGUUUUACAGGAAGGUCAGAGAAGUGACUGCGUCGUUAUGGACAACAAGUUGGGCCAGAAGUCCAGGGAUCUUGUCUCUGACCUCCAGGGACAUAAAGGCUUGUUAGGAGUCAUGCGCAUCUGUUGGUACCCAGAUCUAGCCAGGAAUGUUUACUGCUUAGUUC
RNAcentral lists this long non-coding RNA (1382 nucleotides) under Camelus dromedarius (Arabian camel). Its description in RNAcentral is "lncRNA (ENSCDRG00005017045.1)". The record is from RNAcentral. Lineage: Eukaryota; Metazoa; Chordata; Mammalia; Artiodactyla; Camelidae.